Molecule: ribosomal RNA, 485 nt
Filed under: uncultured bacterium
Lineage: Bacteria
Description: bacterial SSU rRNA
Rfam family: Bacterial small subunit ribosomal RNA
Source: RNAcentral
AAUCAACGCUGGCGGCGUGCCUCAGACAUGCAAGUCGAACGAUUGAGACUCUCUUCGGAGAGUGUAUAAAGUGGCGCACGGGUGAGUAACACGUAGGUAAUGUACCGAAGGGUGGGGAAUAACUUAGGGAAACUUAAGCUAAUACCGCAUAAUGCAGCGGCUCGACAUCGAGACAGUUGUUAAAGGAGCAAUCCGCCUUUUGAGCAGCCUGCGGCAGAUUAGCUAGUUGGUAAGGUAAUGGCUUACCAAGGCUACGAUCUGUAACCGACCUGAGAGGGUGGUCGGUCACACUGACACUGAAUAACGGGUCAGACUCCUACGGGAGGCAGCAGUCGGGAAUUUUGGGGCAAUGGGCGAAAGCCUGACCCAGCAACGCCGCGUGAAGGAUGAAGUAUUUCGGUAUGUAAACUUCGUAAGAAUAGGAAGAAUAAAUGACGGUACUAUUUGUAAGGUCCGGCUAACUACGUGCCAGCAGCCGCGGUAAU